This 402-nucleotide ribosomal RNA is filed under the name uncultured bacterium. RNAcentral's name for it is "bacterial SSU rRNA". It matches the Rfam family "Bacterial small subunit ribosomal RNA", at positions 355 to 774 of the family's 1533-position model. The record is from RNAcentral.
UGGGGAAUCUUGGACAAUGGGCGAAAGCCUGAUCCAGCCAUGCCGCGUGAAUGAUGAAGGCCCUAGGGUUGUAAAAUUCUUUCGACGGGGAAGAUAAUGACGGUACCCGUAGAAGAAGCUCCGGCUAACUUCGUGCCAGCAGCCGCGGUAAUACGAAGGGGGCUAGCGUUGUUCGGAAUUACUGGGCGUAAAGCGCACGUAGGCGGAUCGAUAAGUAAGGGGUGAAAUCCCAGAGCUCAACUCUGGAACUGCCUUUUAAACUGUCGAUCUGGAGCAGAGUAGAGGUGAGUGGAAUUCCGAGUGUAGAGGUGAAAUUCGUAGAUAUUCGGAGGAACACCAGUGGCGAAGGCGGCUCACUGGACUCUUGCUGACGCUGAGGUGCGAAAGCGUGGGGAGCAAACA